Long non-coding RNA from Aquila chrysaetos chrysaetos, 3263 nucleotides. RefSeq lists it as uncharacterized. NCBI's taxonomy places the organism in Eukaryota, Metazoa, Chordata, Aves, Accipitriformes, Accipitridae. The transcript is spliced from 4 exons. The record is from RefSeq and is a predicted model, not a curated record.
CGGCCCUCACCGCUGCCGUGCCCGCAGGCCGCCCGCCUGGCCGGCCCCCAGGGCCUCCGGGCAGCCGCGCAAGGGGGAGCGGGGAGGCGGCUCCAGGCCCCCUGACAGGGUCAGCCUGCCCCUCGGCCGGGCGGGCGGCCCUCGGCGCCCCCGCCGCGAAGCGGGGGAAGGAGCGGGGCGGGAAGGGGCCCGCGGGCGCGCAGGGAAGGGCGGCGGGUCUUCGCCUUCCCGGCUCCCGGCGCGGAAACCCCAGGAACUUUGUCAAGUGCGGGAUGUUGGCGUGAUUUCGCGUAACACCACCAUAAAGUCCUGCUGUACCGCGAGGUGUUUUCACACGGCCGCGUGACAGGGAAAAAUGUGAACAAGAGGAAGAAGAGGUGUCUAAGCCAGCAGUCUGAGGGCCAAAGGAGUUUGGAGACUGUUAAGCAGACAUCGCAGCAAUUCCUGCUCAGAGACUCAAGCAAGAAUGUGCAGAGUGGGGCUGACCAGUGGCAGAGACCCUUGGUAGGACAAUAUUCAUCAGGGUCCCAUGUCCCUGCAUCAGCAGUGCUCAGCAUGAUUGUACCAGGGCUGCAUGUGAAACUGCUCUGCGAUCCUAUUAAAAUGGGAAUGGCUUUGUCUUUCUGUCCUGCAAUGGAGGAGUCAGCAGCUACUGUCAGGCUGUCUGAGAAACUGGGACAGUGAGUUCUUGGCUGUUUCCGUCUUGGUAACUAAAGAACAGGCAGCAAGACACCCACCCAGCCUGGAGGGGAAGAGAACUAUCCUUCAGAAACAUCCAAAACCAGGAGAGAUGCUGACAAACUCUGAUUCUCCUGCACUAUUUAUACUGGCUGACAGAAUGAGUCACAUUAUGCUACUUUUUAAUAGCUUUCUCACCUUCCUGAAAUGAAUUAUAUGCUUGCAGAGCAGUGAUGGUAAACUAGGAUUCAUAGCUAUCAUUAUUAGCUUUGCAACAUCCUUAACAUCAGCGUAGCUAUUUGUAUUCAGUACCCAUGAAUCAGCUGUAAUAUAUUGUGAUAAAUAAUCUGUCCAGAGGGACAUCAGCAUUGCAUCUGAAGAACAGCCCAGACUAAUCCUGUGAAAUCUGCUUUGAUGCAGUCUGCAAAGUUAGGUCUUGUUAUAUUGCUCUGAAUCAGGGAGGUGGCUAUUAUCAGUUGAUUCCUCCUGAUAAAGAAAUUAUUGAGCAGCUUUUUCAGAAGUACUUAAAUGCCUUGGUAUUUGUGAUUUAAAGCUGAUGUUUUUCAGCAACAGUGUGUGACCCCACUCUCUCUAUUAGCUACAUAUACACCAUUACAUUAAAACCUCAUCUAAAGCAAAAGGAACAUACUUGGCCAUGAUGGAGGGUAUUCUUUUGAACACUAUAUUCCAAGAUCUCUCUGCGGUUUUGAAGGUUUCAGCUGAAUCAAUUUUAUGUCACCAGGUUAUGCAAUAGAUUCUGUUUCCAUUACAAAUGAUGUGACAUUAAAAAAAACAUGGGAAGAUGUGAGGGCUUAUGGCAGCACCAAGCUGAAUCUGUAAGGCAACAGCCUGAAACAAUCGCAGGUUACAGAAAAUAGUCCCAGAAGGGGCUGUGGGAGGUCAUCUACACAGUCUGCAUACUGAGGCUCAAUUAAUGCUGUCUGAACUAUUUUGAGAAAUGUUUAUUUAACUUUCUCUUACAAAGUUCCCACAGCAGCGGGCAAAGAUGUGGAUUAACGCCUUUCACCUACCAGUGAAAGCCAGAAGUGGUAAAGGCCAGAAGUCCUGACCUCAUUGGUGCUGGCCAGACAGCAGAUAUUUGUAGCUUUUCUCUGCUGUUGGAUGGACCUUCUAAUUUGUAUAGAAGGGAGCCACAUUUAAGGUGCAUAAGAAGUCCUUACCUUUAAUUUACUAAAAUUUCUGCUUUGCAAUGGCAGAGCAGUUGUGUUUCUAUAGCACAAAGAUUUGGGAGUACCCUAAAUGCCUCCAUAUGGCAACCUAAAGUAAACAAGAUUAACAUCCCUGUAGGGAACAGCCAAUGUUCUGAUGGUAACUAGUUUAGUAGUUAAGGUAGUGUGUACUAGUGGGUAACUCUCCUGACUCUCUCUUCAUGGCUCAGGGGUCUGAUGCUGACUCUGCUAGUGAUCUUCAGGCCUUUUCUCCCUAAGUCCCCUUGUUCCACUGUCCUUCCAUUUUCUAUGUGGAUACUGAGAGUUUAUUCCCUGUAGAACAUUUAGAGAGCAGAAGACAGUGAUGCAGAGGGCCCUGAAUGACCUGGGUGACCCACCUAAGUUAAAGGCUGGAAGCUGCACAGUCCAAUAGAUCAGCCAUGUAAGAGCACAGUCCCCCGCAGACCCAGAGGCAAUAGGCAUCUCCUUUCAGUAGGACUAAUUUAACUUGAGCCCACCAAAGCAUUGUUAGGGCUGUAAAGUGCCCGGGUCCUUGUAUUUCCUGCAACACUGCCAUGCAGAUGUUCUGGCUUAGGAUGGCACCAGCUCAGGGGUCUGAAAGACUCUUUGGCUCGCACACAGAGCUGCCGGGCUAUGAGCAUUGUAGCUGGGAAAGGAAAAUCCUCUUUGCUCCAACUGGAAAGUCAUCUUUAACCCAGUGCCACACACCAGUGUUCCCUGUAUAAGCAUUCCUACUAUUUCAUGCUAAGGCCUUGUACCUUGCCUGAAUAAUAUAUGCUGCCAGUUUAUUAAGAAAUAAGAUCACAUUGUUAAUAAAACUUUUUUCAACCAAACCUCUAGAGUUCACCUACCAAUGAAGAAAGAGCUACAAAAAAAGAAAGCUUACAGCCUGUCAAAUAAAAAUUCCACAAAACAGCUUUUAUAUUUAAGGUACGUUUAUGUUUAUUGCUGUAGUAGUACAAAUAAUGAUGAUGUGAUUUAAUGGGUUGUUAGCACAAUAACGUUCUGUGCUUUAAAAGUGACACAAAUUUCUAUCUUCCAUUUGAAUGUCAUCAAUGACUGUGAAUGCAAUGGGAUGUGUUCUUCCAUUAUCUAGCUCUUUCCUUAUUGUCUGAUGAUGAAUUUAGGGUUUUAUGGAUUUCAAAUAUAUUUUUCUGAGUUUAACAGCUUUAAAUGUUCACUUCCUUUUGCCAGCACCUGAUAUAUCAAUACAAUUGGUUGAUACAGGUAUCUUGUACAGUUGAAAAUGACAUUUGGCAGUUUGUGUCAAACAGAUACAUGUGUUCAGUACUCCUUAAAUGCAGAUUUACUCUGUAGAAAUAGUAGCUAAGGGUGUUUAUUAUGAAUCCUAAAAAAAUUGCGUUCAUUUAUUUUAAAAUAAAGUAAAUGCUUAUA